UACGGAGGAUCCGAGCGUUAUCCGGAUUUAUUGGGUUUAAAGGGUGCGCAGGCGGGAAAUUAAGUCGGCGGUGAAAUUUUGCAGCUCAACUGUAAAAGUGCCUUCGAAACUGGUUUCCUUGAGUGUAGAUGAAGUAGGCGGAAUUUGUGGUGUAGCGGUGAAAUGCUUAGAUAUCACGAGGAACUCCGAUUGCGCAGGCAGCUUACUAAACUACUACUGACGCUCAGGCACGAAGGCGUGGGGAUCAAACAGGAUUAGAUACCCCUGUAGUCCCUGA
This 277-nucleotide ribosomal RNA is filed under the name uncultured prokaryote. Its description in RNAcentral is "partial 16S ribosomal RNA". It matches the Rfam family "Bacterial small subunit ribosomal RNA", at positions 524 to 800 of the family's 1533-position model. The record is from RNAcentral.